Neoarius graeffei (lesser salmon catfish) is the source of this 586-nucleotide long non-coding RNA. RefSeq lists it as uncharacterized. Lineage: Eukaryota; Metazoa; Chordata; Actinopteri; Siluriformes; Ariidae. The record is from RefSeq and is a predicted model, not a curated record. The transcript has 3 exons.
AGGCAGCCCUUAAGGCAACCCUUGCACUAACUUUAAGUUAAAACAACAAAUAUUUUUUUUACAGUGUGUAAACUUCGGACGUGAGAGAUUGCAGCCCUGCAAGGACUAGGCUACUGCAAAGAGGCGAAGUAUAGACCUACUGUAGGCUAUCAUCAUGGAAAGAAGCAAGAAGGAGAUUAUGUCCUUUUUUGUCCCUGUUGGCAAAAAGCAACAUAGAGAGAGUAAGGAAGAUGAAGAUUAUGAAAGAGGAGAGAGAGCCAGAGGUGGAGAGAGAGCCAGAGGUGGUGGUUGGAGAGGUGGAAAGUGAGGCAUCUGAAAGGCAAUCUGAGAGUGAGGAUGAAGACAUUCAGGAUCAGAUUGAGGGACAGAAUGAGGGACAACCCAACGAGUCAUUGGGACAACCAGAUUCACCAUGCAUAUCAAGUACAGCACCAUCAGAUAUCAGAAAGUGCUUGGACGACACUCCAGUGCAGCCACAUCUGAAGAAAAGGUUCAUUGUAUGCAAAAAUAGAAAUCUUAUUUUACAAAAAAGAGAAACAUGGUUUUAAGAUUUAUUGAGCACAAUUUAUUUUAUGUUUAGGCUAUU